CUAGCGACUUCAGAGUUUGAUCCUGGCUCAGGACGAACGCUGGCGGCGUGCCUAACACAUGCAAGUCGGACGGAGCACUUCGGUGCUUAGUGGCGAACGGGUGAGUAACGCGUGAGAAACCUGCCUUUCAGUGGGGGACAACAGUGGGAAACUACUGCUAAUACCGCAUAAUGUUAUUUGGGGGCAUCCCCGAAUAACCAAAGAUUUAUUGCUGAAAGAUGGUCUCGCGUCUGAUUAGCUAGUUGGUGAGGUAACGGCUCACCAAGGCGACGAUCAGUAGCCGGUCUGAGAGGAUGAACGGCCACAUUGGGACUGAGAUACGGCCCAG
This 328-nucleotide ribosomal RNA is filed under the name uncultured bacterium. Its description in RNAcentral is "bacterial SSU rRNA". It matches the Rfam family "Bacterial small subunit ribosomal RNA", at positions 1 to 334 of the family's 1533-position model. The record is from RNAcentral.